Neltuma alba is the source of this 857-nucleotide long non-coding RNA. RefSeq lists it as uncharacterized. The transcript is spliced from 5 exons. NCBI's taxonomy places the organism in Eukaryota, Viridiplantae, Streptophyta, Magnoliopsida, Fabales, Fabaceae. The record is from RefSeq and is a predicted model, not a curated record.
UAGAGAUUAAAGGUUGGUUGCAGAUUUUUGAAAAGCUUUGUGGAACAAUUCAAACUCUGAAAGCACCGAAAGAUUUUGAAGACCAUCAAGACAGAGUGCCAUCAAAUAAUCCUCUGCUUCAGAUUCUCUGUUUUCCUAUCAUCAAAAUGCUGUCAUCUUCUGUUUUCUUCAUCUUUGGGAGUUGAUUCAUGAGAAGCUCACGCAUAAUGAGAUGUGCAGGCAUGGAGCCUGAUAUAUGAAUCAUGUACACUUGUCACAUAGUUAUUGUGAUUGAAAACUUUCAGGUGUUGUUGAAUUUACUCUAAUAUUGUGUACUUUAGUGAAUCAGGUCAAAAUAGUUGAUCAGAUUGCUGUGUUUUGAAGAAAGAGUUAUAUGAGAAGCAAGGAAGGCAGAAUCUGGCAGCAAAGCAUAACUGACAAUGAUAUCAAAGAGGAAAUUAGUCACUGGAUCAAUAAAUAAAAGAAAUACAAGAGGAGGAAUCUCAUCAGUGUUCAUUCCAGAUUAACCGUAUGCUUCUGAGUAUCAUUGUUGAAAUUUGAGUAUGAGUUCUCAAGAGUGCUUUCAAUAUCUAGCUAUUCAAGAGCAACCUAUGCAGAUAACUACUGUUUACUUAAGCUGUAUUGGCUCGGGCGUGAACUGUGUAAAGCUUUAGAUGCAACUUAUGAGUAAGUUAUGUAAAAAUCUUAGAGUUGUGACUUGUAAGAUUUGUAGGUGAGCUCUCUUUGUGAAACUUACUGGCAUUGGGAUUGGAUUUUUAUAGUGGGCAAAUCUCUUGAGUAUUUUUCAAGAGGACUGGACACAAAUCAAAGGACCGAAUCAGGAUAAUUCUCAUGGUGCCUUAUUUUUUCUUUCUUUA